GCCAAAAAAAAUAAAGCUGACUCUUUUUUUUCAUCCUGAAUUUAUGUUCAUCAUUGUUUAGGACCCAGAUGAAGAUGAGGAGACACGUCAGUACAGACUCAAGAUCGAAGAACAGAAGCGCCUGCGAGAAGAGAUCCUCAAGCGCAAAGAGCAGCGCAGACAGAUGCAGGCUGGUAUGCGCAAAAAAGAACUGAUGGAACGGAUAAGUGGCCAGAACCCAAACCAGACUCCACAAACUCAGAACCCCACACAGUACCCUGCAGCCCAACCCCCACAGCCGGUCCCUUCACUGAUCUCUAACGGUACCCCCCAGAACCCUUCGUCAGGUCUUAGUUCCCCUCAUCCAAAUGUGAAGGCCCGGCUGCAGAACACUAAUCCUCAGGCACAGACUUCAGGCUGGUCUGGGCCACAGAAGCAACAGAACGCUGGUCCUGAAGCCAGCCAGCAGGGCCAAUGGCAACCACAGCAGAAGAGGACCAUGACCCCACAAAACACUCAAAGACAAGGUGCUGCUCAGACCAGCCCAUCAGAAGUGCCAGUGGGUCAGCCUCAGCCUGGGGGAAAGAGAACAGUGAUGCAAAGAGCGAGCAGCAUAGAAUCACCACAGGUUCCACAGAAAGUGCGAGUAGUUAAGCUUCUAGGAGAGCAGGCAGAUGCCGGUCCCAACACUGGUCCCCCACAGCAGCAGCAACAACCAAUUGGUCGGCCUGUCCCCCAACAGAGACUUGGUCCCAUCAGGAAAGUUACCAUGGCAGCUGGUGGUGUACAAAAUCAACAACAGGCUGGCCGUGGCAUGGCAAACCAAAUGAACCGGGUGGUAGUUCGGGGUCGAGCACGUGGCCGUGGUGGGGGGCGUGUGAUGCAGCAGAACCCAAGAGCUCAGGAUUGUCAGAGAAGCACCGUCUGCAUUGAAGGUUUAUCCACCACCACAACCAACAAACAGCUCAUGAACCUUCUCAACUCCAUUGGCCCUGUUGAGAUGUUUACAAUGUUGCCGGAGCAGCGGAAGGCCAUUGCCAAGUUUGUGAACCCACAGCAUGCAGUGAGUUUUCAGCACAGCUUUCACAGGCACAUGAUAGAUUUGUCUCACAUCGAUGUUUCCGUUAUUGAUGGCUGAGGAACAAGUCAGUUCAACAGACCAGACGAUGAGAAGUGAGCAAGAAGAGAACGUCUUUUUCUGAAAGACAGACGCACAAUCAGAAGGCUAAAGCUUUGGAAUCUGUGUGGAGAGUGCUGUCGACAAACUCAAGCCACAUGCAUGAAGGAAUCAAAAACAUGCUGGAAAUGGCACAGCAUUGAACUCAUGUCGUGAAUGACUUUGGCAUGAAGUCUCGCACUUGUUUCUGUACUUUCAUUUAUAUGGAGUAAUCAGUAAUGGUCUAAACCAGCAGGUGAAAAGAGACAGAGGUAUGAAACAAGACAUUUUUAUGCCAGUUGAUAAUAGUUGCUCCCAUCCUCUAGCUCUCAACGUAAUUAGAAAAAAUCUUUUGAAUGGCUGUUUUUGGUCAAAUAGGAUUUCCAGAAUGUUUUUUUUUUUUUUUUGUGGAAUUUCCACAGUCAUUGACUUGAACAAAGUUAAGCAGGUGGUUUGGCCUGAUUGAAUAGUAAUGUGUAUGCUGCAGUUGUUUUUGUCACCUGUAGAGGGCAGCAGAUGCCUUCGGUAUGGCGCUCUGUAUGUUGGGGUAUAGCUAGUUAAGCAGGUGGUUUGGCCUGAUUGAAUAGUAAUGUGUAUGCUGCAGUUGUUUUUGUCACCUGUAGAGGGUAGCAGAUGCCUUCGGUAUGGCGCUCUGUAUGUUGGGGUAUAGCUAAGGGCAUGUGGACAUCAGAGUGUGUAGCACCGCUUGGUAGAGAUGUUGAAGUGCUGGUUUGGGUUGAGCUUUUUUUCUAGUUAUGUAUUUUUUGGAAGCCACUGUGAUAUUGCAGGGGUCUCUUUUUUUUCUAUGACUAUUCAUGAUCUUAAGUUUAUUCAUGGUCCCUUUCACCAUUGUAAUUGUAUUGCAGUUGGGUUUUGUUCUGCAGAGCUGGAGUGGUGGUUCAUGACGUGUGUCUUUGUGACCUAAAGACAGCUGAAAAACGAUUUGACAAUAAAUGGCUUUUAUACUUUGAUUUUAAGUUUUGG
Long non-coding RNA from Sinocyclocheilus anshuiensis, 2119 nucleotides. The record is from Ensembl. Lineage: Eukaryota; Metazoa; Chordata; Actinopteri; Cypriniformes; Cyprinidae.